ACAGACGUGUUUAUUUCAUCGCUCGCUUCGCAAACAAUUUAAAGAUAACGGUGCUUUCAAGCAACGGUAUCUUGUUUACAUUUUGUGCGCUUAUCAGCAAUAAAGUUUUAUUGCUUUGUUUACGUCGUUGCUGCGUGAGCAACAGGCGUUCGUGUGUGUGUGUGAAACCGCCAGCUUCUACGUGUGUGUGUGUGUGUGCGUGCUAUUUAUAUAUUAAAUAGAUAAGCGCACACCUGCGGGCGAUGCCGCCACGCAAAAAGAAGCCCGCUGAGAAGGGGACCUUUGAAAAUUGUAGGAUGACGUCGGAAGAUGAGGUGACCUAGUCGGAGUCGUCAUCGAACAGCGAGGUAAGGCGGUCGACAAGUGCGGCGGCUUUGAGGAAGCGGAAAGGAACAGCUGUCGAGUAGAUGAAGGUGAUAACGGGAGCUUUAUUGCAGCUGGCACUCAAGGAGAGAGCCACGGGGUCGCUCAUUUGCAAGUUAGUCGAUUAUACAGGGCAGUAUGAGCAGCUCCUGUUCGCGCUUGUGGCGCAGAAUGAGCGGCUGCAGGGGCGCUUGGAGGCCGUUUGCGGGGGUGCAGGCGUUUCGCAUGAGUUGCAUGUUCCAGCCGGCCAAGCGCGGGAUUCGUCGGUGAACGCCGCCAGAGGGGGUCCCAGGUCGGCAGUGCCGUCUACCCCGGAGAUGCCUCGGCCAGUUGAGACAUGGUCCUCGGUUGUGCGCAGCAAGGCUGCUGGCAAAACCGCUAAGGACGUGGUUGAGCAGGUGGUGAAGGAGGUAGGUCCCUCUCUUGGUGUGCGGAUACGUGAGGUGAAACCUCUAAGGGAUGGAGGUGCGUUAAUUCGGACUCCAUCGGUCGCCGAGCGUGAGAAAAUUGUGGAGAACACAAAGUUCAACGAGGUGGGAUUGGAAGUGUGUGUGAAUGAUAAAUUAGGGCCGAAAGUUGUGGUUCAGGGCGUUCACUCGCAGAUCACCCCUGACGAGUUCAUGGGUGACCUUUACGAGAUGAACUUAAAGGACAAAAUGUCACUUGAAGCCUUUAAGAAAGGUGUCCGGAUGACAAGUAAGCCAGAGUUGCGUCAUACAACCGGGUUCCGUGACCCAGAUUACGGAAGAGGCUUAGGUAGUCCUCGUGCCAAACCAAGGUAGAAGUCACAACCAAACAGUCGUGUCUUUAAUUGGUACCUGCGGAAUUGAUGUUCCAAGGGGGCGGUGAUUGACACUUGAAUUAAUCCUAUACUAGGAACCGUGAGAUUAAGCCAUCGCGGCAGGUGCUCACGUUAAGCCCACUGACUUUCAUGUCCCUAUCUACUAUCUAGCGAAACCACAGCCAAGGGAACGGACUUGGAAUAAUGAGCGGGGAAAGAAGACCCUUUUGAGCUUGACUCUAAUCUGGCAGUGUAAGGAGACAUAAGAGGUGCAGAAUAAGUGGGAGAUAUUAGACUUCGGUUUGGUAUCGACAAUGAAAUACCACUACUCUUAUUGUUUCCUCACUUACUUGAUUAAAUGGAACGUGUAUCAUUUCCUAGCCAUUAUACGGAUAUAAUUAUUAUGUCUUAUGGUAUUGGGUUUUGAUGCAAGCUUCUUGAUCAAAGUAUCACGAGUUUGUUAUAUAAUCGUAAACAAAUUCUUUAAUGAGAGAAUGCAUUUAUGUAUUAUUGACUUAAAAAUUUGGUAUAACUCCAAUUACUCAGGUAUGAUCCAAUUCAAGGACAUUGCCAGGUAGGGAGUUUGACUGGGGCGGUACAUCUCUCAAAUAAUAACGGAGGUGUCCCAAGGCCAGCUCAGUGCGGACAGAAACCACACAUAGGGCAAAUGCUGACUUGAUCUCGGUGUUCAGUACACACAGGGACAGAAAAAGCUCGGCCUAUCGAUCCUUUUGGUUUAAAGAGCUUUUAACAAGAGGUGUCAGAAAAGUUACCAUAGGGAUAACUGGCUUGUGGCGGCCAAGCGUUCAUAGCGACGUCGCUUUUUGAUCCUUCGAUGUCGGCUCUUCCUAUCAUUGUAAAGCAAAAUUCACCAAGCGUUGGAUUGUUCACCCAUGCAAGGGAACGUGAGCUGGGUUUAGACCGUCGUGAGACGGUUUUACCCUACUAAUGACAAAACGUUGUUGCGACAGAAUUCCUGCGUAGUACGAGAGGAACCGCAGGUACGGACCAAUGGCACAAUACUUGUUCGAGCGAACAGUGGUAUGACGCUACGUCCGUUGGACUAUGCCUGAACGCCUCUAAGGUCGUAUCCGUGCUGGACUGCAAUGAUAAAUAAGGGGCAAUUUGCAUUGUAUGGCUUCUAAACCAUUAAAAGUUUUUAAUUUGUUUUAUUUACGACAAUGGAUGUGAUGCCAAUGUUAUUUAUAACAUAGUAAAUUGGGAGGAUCUUCGAUCACCUGAUGCGGCGCUAGUUAUAUUUUAAAACAUUAUUU
RNAcentral lists this ribosomal RNA (2418 nucleotides) under Drosophila virilis. Its description in RNAcentral is "eukaryotic LSU rRNA". The stretch from base 1237 to 2418 matches the Rfam family "Eukaryotic large subunit ribosomal RNA", at positions 1891 to 3280 of the family's 3401-position model. Lineage: Eukaryota; Metazoa; Arthropoda; Insecta; Diptera; Drosophilidae. The record is from RNAcentral.